Molecule: transfer RNA, 74 nt
Filed under: archaeon
Lineage: Archaea
Description: tRNA-Arg
Rfam family: tRNA
About the family: Transfer RNA (tRNA) molecules are approximately 80 nucleotides in length. Their secondary structure includes four short double-helical elements and three loops (D, anti-codon, and T loops). Further hydrogen bonds mediate the characteristic L-shaped molecular structure. tRNAs have two regions of fundamental functional importance: the anti-codon, which is responsible for specific mRNA codon recognition, and the 3' end, to which the tRNAs corresponding amino acid is attached (by aminoacyl-tRNA synthetases). tRNAs cope with the degeneracy of the genetic code in two manners: having more than one tRNA (with a specific anti-codon) for a particular amino acid; and 'wobble' base-pairing, i.e. permitting non-standard base-pairing at the 3rd anti-codon position.
Source: RNAcentral
GCCCGAGUAGCUCAGCCCGGUAGAGCAACUGGCUUCUGACCAGGUGGUCGGGAGUUCGAGUCUCCCCUUGGGCG